CUCAUGGUUUCACGGAAUUGCAAUGAGAACAAUUUAAAACCCUUAGCGAGAAUCAAGUGGAGGACAAGUCUGGUGCCAGCACCCGCGGUAAUUCCAGCUCCACUAGCGUAUAUUAAAGUUGUUGCAGUUAAAAAGCUCGUAGUUGAACCUCUGUCUGGGGCUAGUUUUGGCUUUGGUCAGGCUAGUUCUAGGCAUCCGCCUACAAGACUUAGAGGGCAUUCAGUUGUUCACUAGGAGGAGUAGGCAUUUUACUUUGAAAAAAUUAGAGUGUUUAAGGCAGGCAAUCGCCCGCAUAUAUUAGCAUGGAAUAAUAGAAUAGGACACUUUUCCAUUUCGUUGGUUAUUGGAAUCGUGUAAUGAUUAAUAGGGACAGUUGUGGGCAUUUGCAUUUAAUUGUCAGAGGUGAAAUUCUUGGAUUUAUUAAAGACAAACUAACGCGAAAGCAUUUGCCAAGGAUGUUUUCAUUAAUCAAGAACGAAAGUUAGGGGAUCAAAGACGAUCAGAUACCGUCCUAGUCUUAACUAUAAACUAUUCCGACUCAAUGUUUGACUGGCUUAUAUAACCAGUUGAGCGUUGUAUGAGAAAUCAAAGUCUUUAGGUUCUGGGGGGAGUAUGGUUGCAAAGCUGAAACUUAAAGGAAUUGACGGAAGAGCACAACCAGGAGUGGAUUCUGCGGCUUAAUUUGACUCAACACGGGGAAACUUACCAGGUUAAAACAAUAGUGGGAUUGACAGUUUGAGAGCGCUUUCUUGAUUGGUUGGGUGGUGGUGCAUGGCCGUUCUUAGUUGGUGGAGUGAUUUGUCUGCUUAAUUGCGUUAACGAACGAGACCUUAACCUGCUUACUAGACUGGCGAUCAUCAAUCGUUAGCUCUUCUUAGAGGGACUUUGGUUGUUUUAACUCCAAGGAAGUUUGAGGCAAUAACAGGUCUGUGAUGCCCUUAGAUAUCCUGGGCCGCACGCGUCAUACAAUGACUAGUUCAGAAAGUUUUCUCCUGACCCGAAAGGGGAUGGGCAAUCUUGAUAAUACUAGUCGUGUUAGGGAUCGAUCUUUGCAAUUAUAGAUCUUGAACGAGGAAUUCCUAGUAAGUGCGGUUCAUCAGACCGUACUGAUUACGUCCCUGCUCUUUGUACACACCGCCCGUCGCUUCUACCGAGUGGGUGGUCCGGUGAGAUAAUUGAACUUCGCAGGUAACUGAGAGGAAAGAUUAUCAAACCUAUCCACCU
This 1224-nucleotide ribosomal RNA is filed under the name metagenome. RNAcentral's name for it is "SSU rRNA". It matches the Rfam family "Eukaryotic small subunit ribosomal RNA", at positions 493 to 1774 of the family's 1831-position model. The record is from RNAcentral.